This 519-nucleotide ribosomal RNA is filed under the name Bifidobacterium pseudocatenulatum. RNAcentral's name for it is "bacterial SSU rRNA". It matches the Rfam family "Bacterial small subunit ribosomal RNA", at positions 165 to 697 of the family's 1533-position model. Lineage: Bacteria; Bacillati; Actinomycetota; Actinomycetes; Bifidobacteriales; Bifidobacteriaceae. The record is from RNAcentral.
AAUGCCGGAUGCUCCGACUCCUCGCAUGGGGUGUCGGGAAAGAUUCAUCGGUAUGGGAUGGGGUCGCGUCCUAUCAGGUAGUCGGCGGGGUAACGGCCCACCGAGCCUACGACGGGUAGCCGGCCUGAGAGGGCGACCGGCCACAUUGGGACUGAGAUACGGCCCAGACUCCUACGGGAGGCAGCAGUGGGGAAUAUUGCACAAUGGGCGCAAGCCUGAUGCAGCGACGCCGCGUGCGGGAUGACGGCCUUCGGGUUGUAAACCGCUUUUGAUCGGGAGCAAGCCUUCGGGUGAGUGUACCUUUCGAAUAAGCACCGGCUAACUACGUGCCAGCAGCCGCGGUAAUACGUAGGGUGCAAGCGUUAUCCGGAAUUAUUGGGCGUAAAGGGCUCGUAGGCGGUUCGUCGCGUCCGGUGUGAAAGUCCAUCGCUUAACGGUGGAUCUGCGCCGGGUACGGGCGGGCUGGAGUGCGGUAGGGGAGACUGGAAUUCCCGGUGUAACGGUGGAAUGUGUAGAUAU